AUGGGAACGCGAAGAACCUUACCUAGACUUGACAUCUUCUGCAUUAAUCGUAAUGGAUGAAAUCCCUUCGGGGACAGAAUGACAGGUGGUGCAUGGUUGUCGUCAGCUCGUGUCGUGAGAUGUUGGGUUAAGUCCCGCAACGAGCGCAACCCCUAUUAUUAGUUGCUACCAUUAAGUUGAGCACUCUAGUGAGACUGCCCGGGGUUAACCGGGAGGAAGGCGGGGAGUGACGUCAAAUCAUCAUGCCCCUUACUGUCUAGGGCAACACACGUGCUACAAUGGUGAGUACAGAUAGAUGCGAUACCGCAAGGUGGAGCCAAACUCUAAAACUCAUCCCAGUUCGGAUUGUAGGCUGCAACUCGCCUACAUGAAGUUGGAGUUGCUAGUAAUCGCGAAUCAGAAUGUCGCGGUGAAUACGUUCCCGGGUCUUGUACACACCG
This 440-nucleotide ribosomal RNA is filed under the name uncultured bacterium. RNAcentral's name for it is "bacterial SSU rRNA". It matches the Rfam family "Bacterial small subunit ribosomal RNA", at positions 954 to 1392 of the family's 1533-position model. The record is from RNAcentral.